UACGAAGGGGGCUAGCGUUGCUCGGAAUUACUGGGCGUAAAGCGCACGUAGGCGGCUCUUUAAGUCGGGGGUGAAAUCCUGGAGCUCAACUCCAGAACUGCCUUCGAUACUGAAGAGCUCGAGUCCGGAAGAGGUGAGUGGAACUGCGAGUGUAGAGGUGAAAUUCGUAGAUAUUCGCAAGAACACCAGUGGCGAAGGCGGCUCACUGGCCCGGUACUGACGCUGAGGUGCGAAAGCGUGGGGAGCAAACAGGG
RNAcentral lists this ribosomal RNA (254 nucleotides) under uncultured bacterium. Its description in RNAcentral is "partial 16S ribosomal RNA". It matches the Rfam family "Bacterial small subunit ribosomal RNA", at positions 524 to 777 of the family's 1533-position model. The record is from RNAcentral.